Drosophila albomicans is the source of this 1383-nucleotide long non-coding RNA. RefSeq lists it as uncharacterized. The record is from RefSeq and is a predicted model, not a curated record. The transcript is spliced from 5 exons. NCBI's taxonomy places the organism in Eukaryota, Metazoa, Arthropoda, Insecta, Diptera, Drosophilidae.
GUGAACGUAACGUAUCAUACACGAUAUUACGAUAAUAUGUAUUUAUACAUUUACAUUUAUUUUACAGUCAGCAAUGCCGCGAGCAAGACGAUCGAAUCUUAAAUAAUGAAAAGAAAAUAAAAUAAAAAUAAAUAAAAUAAUGAAUGGUUGAGUGAGCGAGCAAUUUUAGCGGAAAAAAUUGUAAAAUCGGCACAAUUUUAACAAUCGGAAAAAUGAAAAAAAUGUAAAAUUCGGAAAAAUUUCGGAAAUUGAAAAAAUUGUAAAAUCGGCAAAAUUUUGGAAAUUAAAAAGAUUUUAAAAUCGGGAAAAUUUUGGAAAUUGAAAAAAUUGCAAAAUCGGAAAAUUUUGAAAAUUAAAAAAAAAUGUAAAAAUUGGCAAAAUUUUAAAAAUUGAAAAAAUUGUAAAAUCGGCAAAAUUUUAGAUAUUAAAAAAAUGUAAAAAUCGGCAAAAAUUGUGGAAAUUUUGAAAAAUCGGAAAAAAUUUUAAAAUUGAAAAAAAUUGUAAAAUCGCCAAGUUUUGGAAAUUAAAAAAAAUUACAAAUCGGCGAAAUCUUGGAAAUUGAAAAAAUGUAAAAAUUGACAAUAAUAAUGAAUAAAAUAAUAUCGAUGUAGUACACCAUUCAAAAUAUACCAUAAACGGCACAAUGUGCCAGAUUGUCGGCCAAAGCAACUCAGACCCUACAAUUAUUUCAACGUGAUUUACUUUUGAUUUGUAUAUGAGCCCAAGCUGAGGCAAAAAAUUGUGAAGAAUUUAAAAGGGAUUUGAAGGUGUGCGCAGAGCACGAAUGCAGAGAAAUUGAAGUGUGCUUCAGUGGGACAUGAGUUGAUGCAAUAGCAACUGUUGCAAAACUGCAAGGCUGAUGUGUGCUUCAAUAAACACUAACUAAAUCAAAUACGUCCUACAGCUUUCAAGCUACCACCUAGGCUGCUGCCGGCUUUUGCUAAAAAUCCAUCAAUACUGUACGACUUCUGAGAAGAAGAUACGUCAUACCGGCACGACUACGGACCACUGGUCUAUGCUCUGCCCCUAGUAGGUGCAGCCGGUCCUACCAAUCUACCUACCUUUGUAGGUGCGAACUUAAAAAUAAAUAAUACAAAGGGUCUUCUACAGUCCAAUAAAAUCUAACAAUAACUUUACAUACAUACAAUGAUGAUUCCUGAUUUGGUUGCGAUAUGAUACAAACGAAGAAGAAUAAAUAAUUACAUAUGCAAAACUGGGCUGACUGCUGUUGUCGGGUCAAUUUGAUAUUGAUAAUUUGGGUGUUUAUAUUUUUAUACCCUCUACCCAUAGGGUAGAACGGUAUUAUAACUUUGUUCGUGUGUAAGAAGGCAUCUCCGACCCUAUAAAGAAUAAUAUUCUUGAUCAGAGUCAACAGACGAUACG